Molecule: non-coding RNA, 88 nt
Organism: Flammula alnicola
Lineage: Eukaryota; Fungi; Basidiomycota; Agaricomycetes; Agaricales; Strophariaceae
Source: the annotation of a GenBank genome assembly
GCAUUAAUGGGGUAGUGGUAACCUGGGUCGUUGCCAUCGAAUAAUGAAAAGAUUCGACCCGCCGGGAGUUCGAUUCUCUCUUAAUGCA